RNAcentral lists this non-coding RNA (117 nucleotides) under Gorilla gorilla gorilla (western lowland gorilla). Lineage: Eukaryota; Metazoa; Chordata; Mammalia; Primates; Hominidae. The record is from Rfam by way of RNAcentral.
GCCGGGCGCGGUGGCUCACGCCUGUAAUCCCAGAACUUUGGGAGGCUGAGGCAGGUGGAUCACCUGAGGUCAGGAGCUUGAGACCAGCCUGGCCUACAUGGUGAAACCCUGUCUCUA